UGAGAGACCAUAGAGAGAGAUAGAGUGAGAGAGAGAGUAGGAUAAAUAGCGCAUAGCCGUGCUUCAUAUAAGAAUGGCAUCAUUUCGUUUGAGCGCAUUUUGUCGCAUUUUUUUGUCGUUGAAAAAAUUUUUUCUAGAUGUCUAGUCUAUAUGUAGUAUCGAUGGAUUUGGGCUCUCAUGAUAUAUCGAUGGUUUAUUUCAUCCAUCAAUAAUUUACUACUUGGUGGCGCGAAGAGGCGCAUUCAAUGCAUAGCACUUCCUCUUCUCCCCUACCAUCAACUUGGCGCCUCUGCUUCCCAACAUGUCUCAGGCCGUUGCCGCCCUGCUGCUGCGACGUCGACGUCGACCUGGAAAACGAAAAGGAAGAGAAGCCGCCGCCUGACGAAAGGCAGUCGAUGGCAGUCGGUGGCUGGCAGCUGAACUGGACGAGACGAUACAUUUAACAAAUAUUAACAAUUCAUUGCGAAAUUAUAACGAUUUAAAUCGAA
Drosophila mojavensis is the source of this 488-nucleotide long non-coding RNA. RefSeq lists it as uncharacterized. The record is from RefSeq and is a predicted model, not a curated record. The transcript is spliced from 2 exons. Lineage: Eukaryota; Metazoa; Arthropoda; Insecta; Diptera; Drosophilidae.